AAUUACCCACUCCCGGCACGGGGAGGUAGUGACGAAAAAUAACGAUACGGGACUCAUCCGAGGCCCCGUAAUCGGAAUGAGUACACUCUAAACCCUUUAACGAGGAUCAAUUGGAGGGCAAGUCUGGUGCCAGCAGCCGCGGUAAUUCCAGCUCCAAUAGCGUAUAUUAAAGUUGUUGCGGUUAAAAAGCUCGUAGUCGAAUCUGUGUCUCGCGCCGCCGGUGCAUCGCUCGCGGUGUUUAACUGGCGUGUCCGCGAGACGUCCUGCCGGUGGGCUUAGCCCGGCAACGGGCGGCCCAACUUGAAAUCCCACCGCGGUGCUCUUGACUGAGUGUCGAGGUGGGCCGGCACGUUUACUUUGAACAAAUUAGAGUGCUUAAAGCAGGCUAAAACUUCGCCUGAAUACUGUGUGCAUGGAAUAAUGGAAUAGGACCUCGGUUCUAUUUUGUUGGUUUUCGGAACCCCGAGGUAAUGAUUAAUAGGAACGGAUGGGGGCAUUCGUAUUGCGACGUUAGAGGUGAAAUUCUUGGAUCGUCGCAAGACGGACAGAAGCGAAAGCAUUUGCCAAAAACGCUUUCAUUGAUCAAGAACGAAAGUUAGAGGUUCGAAGGCGAUCAGAUACCGCCCUAGUUCUAACCAUAAACGAUGCCAGCUAGCGAUCCGCCGACGUUCCUCCGAUGACUCGGCGGGCAGCUUCCGGGAAACCAAAGCUUUUGGGUUCCGGGG
RNAcentral lists this ribosomal RNA (725 nucleotides) under Berosus halasi. RNAcentral's name for it is "SSU rRNA". It matches the Rfam family "Eukaryotic small subunit ribosomal RNA", at positions 439 to 1119 of the family's 1831-position model. Lineage: Eukaryota; Metazoa; Arthropoda; Insecta; Coleoptera; Hydrophilidae. The record is from RNAcentral.